Non-coding RNA from Ictidomys tridecemlineatus (thirteen-lined ground squirrel), 69 nucleotides. Lineage: Eukaryota; Metazoa; Chordata; Mammalia; Rodentia; Sciuridae. The record is from Rfam.
GGAGAUGUGGCUCAAGCGGUAGGGCGCUUGCCUGGCAUGCUUGCAGCCUGGGUUCGAUCCUCAGCACCA